GUAGGUGAACCUGCGGAAGGAUCAUUAACACGUAUCCACGUUAAUAACCCGAGAACUUCUUAGGAACGUCCAAUCUUUUAAGUUUCAUUCGUGAGACGAAAAAGUGAGGACCUCCUUUGAUAUUCAAACAGAAAAGAAGAACAUUUCUGAGAAAGACCCUUUUCACCCUUGGGUGUCAGGGGACCCUCUCUUAGUUUCGAUCUUUCGCUCUGUUUGGUUGCCUUUAUUGGGACAAAUCUUAGGAUGCGUCCCUUUAGAGGUUCAACUUGAAACCCCAUUUCUUUAACUUAAAGGCCGUCUCUUCGUAGACCGCUUUUAACCGAAUGCUGUACAACUCUUAGCAACGGAUAUCUUGGUUCUG
RNAcentral lists this unclassified non-coding RNA (361 nucleotides) under rhizosphere metagenome. RNAcentral's name for it is "partial ribosomal RNA internal transcribed spacer region". The record is from RNAcentral.